Molecule: unclassified non-coding RNA, 354 nt
Filed under: soil metagenome
Description: partial contains 5.8S ribosomal RNA, internal transcribed spacer 2, and large subunit ribosomal RNA
Rfam family: 5.8S ribosomal RNA (bases 1-120)
Source: RNAcentral
GAUGAAGAACGUAGCGAAAUGCGAUAAGUAAUGUGAAUUGCAGAAUUCCGUGAAUCAUCGAAUCUUUGAACGCACAUUGCGCCCCCUGGCAUUCCGGGGGGCAUGCCUGUCCGAGCGUCAUUUCUGUCCUCCAGCCCGGCUGGGUGUUGGGCGCUGUCCCCCCGGGGACACGCCCCAAAGGCAGUGGCGGCGCCGCGUCGGGUCCUCGAGCGUAUGGGGCUUUGUCACCCGCUCGGGACGGACUCGUCGGCGCUGGUCUUCCUCCAGGCGACCCUUCGGGGCUCGUCUUCCUUCGGUUGACCUCGGAUCAGGUAGGGUUACCCGCUGAACUUAAGCAUAUCAAUAAGCGGAGGA